This 74-nucleotide transfer RNA is filed under the name Candidatus Omnitrophota bacterium. RNAcentral's name for it is "Candidatus Omnitrophica bacterium (groundwater metagenome) tRNA-Arg". It matches the Rfam family "tRNA". From Rfam's summary of the family: Transfer RNA (tRNA) molecules are approximately 80 nucleotides in length. Their secondary structure includes four short double-helical elements and three loops (D, anti-codon, and T loops). Lineage: Bacteria; Pseudomonadati; Candidatus Omnitrophota. The record is from RNAcentral.
GCGCCUGUAGCUCAAAUUGGAAGAGCGGGGGCGUCCUAAGCCCUGCGUUGCAGGUUCGACUCCUGCCAGGCGCA